GGAGACGAUUAAAAUUUGAUUAAAAUUAGAAAUCUCAUCGGCAGCUGGCGGUCGGAGCAUGUUCCGACGCAGCGAUUGCUGGUACAGCGCGGUAUGUUGCAUCCACUAAACGAUAACUACAUAAGUAAAUGUACUUGAAAUACAUUAUAUACAUACAUAUACAUAUACAUAUACAUAUAUAUACAUAUACAGUACAGUACAGAUAGGUGUGUGUAUAACUAAGGCAAAGAAGAAUCGGUGCGGAAUCGGUGCCAUUCCAUAACCCAAAUUACUUAUUGUACGAUUAGAGGGUAUGGGUAGGCGCUUGAAUUGAAAUUGGAGCCCUUUUUUGACCGUUACUGCGGCCCUGGGCGUUUCCGUGUGUGUGUGUUGGUGUUCAUUUUUUGAAUAAUUGGAAAGCGAAAUUAGUUUUAACAUAAAAAUUGCAUUCAAUAUAAGGCUGAUUUAUUUGACUUGUUCAUUUUUGAUAUACUCACACGAGAACACACACACACACUCUCGCAUAUCAGCCAGGCAGGCAGCGAACGGUGCUAAAAAACACUUGGAAAAGAAAAACAAACAAAACCAUUGGAAAUUCCAUUUAAAUUUAAGUGCAUUAUGUCGGUUAGUACAUACAAUUUAGUGAGUAUCAAGCAAAAAGACUUGCGCAUCAUUUACUUAGCUGCGUAUCCAUUAAUCUCAUUCACAUGCCAUGAUUUCUCCUGUAAAACUAUUACUCCAUGCACCCCAUUUAACCAUCCAUGGCAAGAACACACGGCAAAGAGCUGAAGAGCUGGAGACAGCUGAAAGGGCAGCAAUUUCCAUUGCAUGCCCCCAGGCGUCGCAAGCGAAACGUUAGUGGUCUUCCUGUAUGCGUUUUUAAUAUGAUUUUUUGGCCAAAUGAGUUAAAGAAUAAUUAAAUAAAAAUGCCUGCAAUGAGAGCUUAGAUAUAGCUCUCCUUUAAGCCCAAAAUAAAUGAGAAAACUCCCAGGGAAGACCACUGUUGUUGGAUAUAGAGGAACGAAUGAUAACUGCUUUACACUGCCAGCAAGACACGCUCACGCCCGAACGAUUCAUUCAUUCAUCGCCUUCUCAAAAGUCUUGAUGCAAUUCUGAUGAAAGCAAUAAGCUGUUUAUACAAUCAAAGUCUUUCUACUGCGAAUAGUUUCACACUUCAUGCAUUGCAUCGCAUUUCACCCAAUCCACGAAUCAAUCAAUCAACAAUAUUCAUGUAUGUAUACAUAUGACAUAUGAACAUUCUUGUAAACUGACUGAAACUUCAAAGUAAACCAAAACUAAAAUACGAAGGGAGAUAUUGUAUAAGGAGAAGAGUUAAAUCAUCUGAGAAUGGAGGAGAGGCCUCUGAGAGCAGCUAAAUUGUUGCUUAAGCUAAGUGAAAGCGUAAAUUAAAUUCAAUAAUAGUUUUUAAAUAAGUUUUUCUACCCAGGCAGCAAGUAUGCAGUUGUUGUAACUUUUUUACAAUUUAAAAUUUAUGAUAAUUGGCAAGACAAUUUUGUUGUUAAAACUGAAACUGAACGAAAAAGGCAAAAUUCAAUAAAUUGUAUUCAAUUAUUUUGCAUUGAUUGGCGCACGGAUAGAACCACAAGAUGUCUUCAAAAUUGGCUAAAUGUAAACUUAAUUUCAAGAGACUUUUAGUUCUGGGCAUUUCCCAACCCCAGCAUUUUGGCAACUCAGACAGACGUCGCAAGUAAAAUUAAUAUUUAAAAUUAAAUAAAAAUGAAUACCCUAACACUUAAAUAUUGUAAAAUUAACAAUAAUCGGUUUAGUUGAUCGUGUUUUGUAAGAUCUAGACGAUAUGAGAGAUACUUUGAAUGACUUGACUUGACUUGAUUAAAUUUAGACGUACGCUCGUACCCAUAAGGGGCACACCCCAGCCCCAGCCCCACACCCCAGCCCCACACCCCACACCCACCACCCACACAGCACACACCCCAGCCAGCAUUCAUCAUUGCCAUGUUUCCAACACUUUUGCAGUAACUCAUCGUGUUUGUCUAUAUAGUUCGUAAUCUAUGAAAAAUGAAAAAAAUCUCUAUAUAUUGUUGUUGUGUCUACUAAUCUAUAGAAGUUUACUUCCCAAUCGGAUUGAGAUUGUGAGACAUUAUGGUGUAUGUCUAUUGUAUGUUAAGUUGAAUCGAUGGCAUCCCAUCCACAUCCCUGUUUUGUUUGAAUUGUUGACUCUUGUUUGCUGUUACAUGAAGAUACUCAUCAUAAAUGAUACUUACGCCCUACUAGAAUAGUUAGAAUAGAACAUACUCCAAAAGGGAGAGAGAGCAGAGAGCAGAGAGCAGUCGCAAAAAUGAUCACCGCAUGACAAGGUACAAAAAGAGAGGAGCACCCACACAGACACAGAGGGGGAGAGGGGAGGAAAGCCGACCCUGGAGCAGGUGAAAGCUAAGCAGACACAAAAACACACACAAGAACACACAUAGUAAGAGUAAUUAAACAAGUUAGUAUAACUGAGUUUGCAUUUCCAAAACCGAAAAACGAAAAAACCAAAACUAAACCAAGUAAUUAACCAGCAACUAAGUGUCGUGUAUAUUCCAUGUUAAACUUACAGCAGUAUAAACAAAUAAUUAAACAUUAAACAUACAUAUAUUAUAUAUGUACAUAAUCUAACCCGAUAUAUGAUGAACAGAGCAGCUCCUUUCCGAUGGCAAGUGACGAAUGUUCAUGCAUACAUAUACCUAUACAUAUAUGCAAGUACUCCUAGACACAUACUACAUAUACAGCUACAGAUAAAUAGAUGUGCAUAAUGAAUGUAAAGCCAUAAAUAUACAUACAUGUAUACAGUUGUCUCAAUGUGAAAUAAGCUUAAACCAACUACAACCACAGAAAAUGUAACCAGAAACUAGCCAAGCCCAGCACUGCAACAACCUAACACCCGAGGACCCAAAAUGUAAGCAAAACACUUGUGACCCCUACUCCCUACCUAAAAUACCUACCAUACUAAACAAUACAUAAAUACAUACUGUACUUAAUCGUAAAGUAGUUACAGAGCAGCAGAGAUGUUUGACACUUCAAUUGAACAUUGGUGAGAAUCGAGUACCUAUGAAACUGACAGAGAUACAUAGAUAUGUAGAGCCUGCACCGCCGCACCCAAAUACCGCCCCGAUGCAUCGGGACUGUGCCGGGUAGUGGUCGGUUGGCAACUAUAUUUUUUGCAAAGCAAAUUGUGCAACAGAAACUAAAUGCAGAAACGUUUUAAGCGCAGAUACAGAAACAUUUUUAGAGAUACUCGUACGAAAAAAAAAGAAAACAAAAAGGGAAACAAAAACAAAAACCAAACACACAUAUUGUAUGUACAUUGCACAGGCUACAGAUCGUACACGAAUAUACAUAGUAGAUAUAUUUUGCGUCUUUGUAUACAGGAAACAGCAGCAUAUUAUAUUUGUAUAUUUACAACCAGUGUACAGAUCAGAACAUAAAAUACUUACAGGUGCGAAAGCUGAACGGAGAGUUAGAGUUACACUUAAGUAGGUCUUGUUGGCUCGGUUGGCUUUUUAUGCUUCACAUUUUCCCCCAUCAUGAACUACUCUUAAGAGCCCCGUUUCCAGACCAAUCAUUACGAGUACUACAUAGAUAAAUGUCUCUCCACCUGUAACACCCAUCCCAUCAUCUCUCUCUCUGCAUAUGUAUCUAUAUCACUCACACACUCCAAAACAGACACCACCCACACACAUAACAUUAACUUUUACAUCAUUCUCAUAGGAAAAAACCCCUAAAAAUAAAACUACAUUUUCAAAACUAUUUUAAGCGAACGAAAAUAUACAACAAAAACAAAAAAAGCAAGAAAAAAACAAAAAAACGAAAAGAAAACAGAAAUACAAAUAAAAAAAUAAUAAUAUUU
RNAcentral lists this long non-coding RNA (3847 nucleotides) under Drosophila guanche. Lineage: Eukaryota; Metazoa; Arthropoda; Insecta; Diptera; Drosophilidae. The record is from RNAcentral.